Molecule: ribosomal RNA, 275 nt
Filed under: Escherichia coli
Lineage: Bacteria; Pseudomonadati; Pseudomonadota; Gammaproteobacteria; Enterobacterales; Enterobacteriaceae
Description: partial 23S ribosomal RNA
Rfam family: Bacterial large subunit ribosomal RNA
Source: RNAcentral
AAAAGCCUCUAAGCAUCAGGUAACAUCAAAUCGUACCCCAAACCGACACAGGUGGUCAGGUAGAGAAUACCAAGGCGCUUGAGAGAACUCGGGUGAAGGAACUAGGCAAAAUGGUGCCGUAACUUCGGGAGAAGGCACGCUGAUAUGUAGGUGAAGUCCCUUGCGGAUGGAGCUGAAAUCAGUCGAAGAUACCAGCUGGCUGCAACUGUUUAUUAAAAACACAGCACUGUGCAAACACGAAAGUGGACGUAUACGGUGUGACGCCUGCCCGGUGC